AGUCGGCCUGGGUUCGAUCCCAGAAGGUCCCGGUGGCAUUUUUCGAGACGAGAUUUGUCUGAUCACGCCUUCCGUCGGACGGGGAAGUAAAUGUUGGCCCCGGUCUAACCUAGAGGUUAGGUCGUUAGCUCAGUCCAGGUGUAGGAGUCGUCUCCCUGGGUCCUGUCUCGGUGGAGUCGCUGGUAGGCAGUUGGACUAACAAUCCAAAGGUCGUCAGUUCGAAUCCCGGGGUGGAUGGAAGCUAAGGUGUAAAAAGAGGUUUGCAAUUGCCUCAACAAUCAAGCCUUCGGACACCUAGUUUCGAGUAGGAAUCUCGCAAUCGAGAACGCCAAGGCAAUGCUGUAGAGCGAAUAAUUUGAUUUUGAUGCUGCCGUUCUACGCAUAAUUGUCCCAUGUAAUUUUUUGACGAUUUUGACUUUAUGACAUUUUUAAUUUUAGUUUGACGUAUACUUUCAGAAAAACACAUAAAAUCUAGUACUUUGUUCGGAAACUCAUUGAAAACAACGCCAAGUCUCUUUGUCCCAUCGUUGUACUUCUACGCAUAAUUGUCCCACGAAGUAUUUUCUUCCCCGGAAUCAAUAGUUUUACGAAGCAUUAUGUCGUGUUUACCUAUUGUAUAGCAAGAGGAUAACAAGUAAGAGUGAUAAACUGCUAACUGGGGCAAUUAGGGACAUAUAUGGCGAAUAGGUGGUGGUGGUAGUUGAUUUAUUUCAGGCAGCUUUAACAUGUUUGUCAUUCGCUGCCUAUGGCGAAUAGGAGCCCACGUGACAAUUAUGCGUAGAAACACAGAAAUCGAUCGAAAAAUUUCAAUCGCGUUUUUCUUAGUUGCACUUUUUCGAACAUGGGACAAUUAUGCGUAGAACGGCAGUAUGCCCACCAGAAUAAACCUUUGAAUGCCCGCCAAAAAGUCAUUUUAUUAAACUGUAGUAAUCAGUGGAUUGGGAUUUUUUUGCUGAUUUUUUUUAUUGAUAUUUUGAUUUCUUUAAACCUUUCAAUUAGUUUCUUUUCUUUCAACUUUGAGAAUUUUAGAUUUUUUAUUUUUGUUUUAUAUGUUUUAAGAUCCUAUUUUUUUGGUUUUUUAAAAUCUUUUUUUCAUUUUUAGUAUUUUCUAAAUCUAUGCUCACUAAAAGUAAAGUUUACGGAAUUUUCAACUGCUGAACAGUUCGGCAAACUAAAAAUUACCAAAUUCAUUAAAACCUCGCCAAAAUUCGGUAAUGAAGUUUUAUUAUUGGUCAUCGUUCAGCCGAUAUUCGGUAAAAUUAUGUUCAUUUUUACAGAAGGUUUUCCGAUCUCAACUUUACCGACAUUUUUAUUACCGGUUGCGAUAAAAAAUUAAAGUGUCAAUCGAAGUGAUUUUUUUUUCACUGUUGGUUUUUCAUAUUUUUUAUAUUUUUUGCAAUAUUUUAAAAUUUCGUUAUUUAUAUUAUUUUUUUUAUUAAAAUUAAUAAUUUUUUUUGCUGUUUUUUUUUUGUUUUUAUCGAGCGUGAUUUGAUGUUCUUCAUUUGACACAAGAAAUUAAAAAAUUAUCUAAGUAAAUAGUUUAAGUUGUGUUUUAAGGAACCCAAGGAUGUCAUCACAAUCAUGUGCCUUCUGUUGAUUCUAAAUGUAACGUUUAUUAUUUCUCUACACUACAAUCGACAAGUGAUUCAAUGAAUGAAAGGUUUAUGUUUUAAAAUAACUAUUUUAUUCGAAUCUGUCUCAUCAAGCUUAUCUUUCCUCGAUAUCAUGACUAAUUCACUUACAAACGACUAAAUGUGUUAUUAUUUCUGCAUCUCCAGUUGGAACAUAAACAUAGUUUACAUCUUAAACAGACGACAUCCGAGAGCUUCGAAUCUCUCAAAUACAGUUGAAUUCGCCCCUUUCUUGAGGGGCACUUCUAAUUUAGCAAAUUAUUUGUACAGGGGAUCGUUUAAUGUACGAGCGUAGGGUUGGUCAAACGUUGCAUUAUUAUUAUUUUUUAGAAGGUGGUUGAAAAAAAAAAAAAAUGGACACACUAGCAAACUUAAAUAGUUAAAAAUUAAACUCUCUUAAAAUAAAUCAAAGUCAAAAUCGAGUAA
Long non-coding RNA from Culex pipiens pallens (northern house mosquito), 2057 nucleotides. RefSeq lists it as uncharacterized. The record is from RefSeq and is a predicted model, not a curated record. The transcript is spliced from 2 exons. NCBI's taxonomy places the organism in Eukaryota, Metazoa, Arthropoda, Insecta, Diptera, Culicidae.